AAAUAAAAAAUUUCUCGCAAAUCGGUUACAAUCUUUAUAUCCAAACAUAGAAUUAAACAUGUGUGUAACCUGAUCUAGUGAUUCUUCUUUUGCUUUUGAAUGUAUUACUUGUGUUUCCACAUGUCUUCUUAUAUUUACAAAUUAUAUGAAUAGACUUUAAAUAUACAUGCAUCAAUCAGUUAGACAACACAGAUUAGGACCCCAUACAAAGAAAAUAUGUUAUGUGCACUUACUUUUUGUAAUGUUUUGAUUGAUAAGUGUGUAUUGAUGUCUUUUUUAACAAUCACUAAAGUUUAAUUGAAAAAUUCGACCAAUUCUCAAUAUUUUCCCAUGUUUCCAACAACAACGAUACAAUACGCGAUGCAAUCGAUAUAUCCCAUGCGAUAACCGAUAUGUAUCUAUAUCCCAAGGGUGCAAUACAUAAAUGUGAUACCAAUAUUUCGAACACUGACGCAACCUAAAGUAACAAGAAGGGGUAACCAUUAAGUAUAAAAGUAGAGAAAGAGCUUCUAGAUUUUAAAUCAAGGUUGUGCUUGGUUAAACCAAUUUCAUGAUAUUCUGCACCAAAUUAGACUCAUUAAUAAUGGAAUUUAACAAAAUUUUAUAAUAUUUGGUGCAACCAAACGCAACCUAAAGUAACAAGAAAGGGCAACCAGUAAGUAUAAAAGUAGAAAAAGAGCAAUGAAAAUGAUUUAAUAUUGUUACUAAUAUUAUUAUUAUUAUACUAAUAACAUUGAAAAACUAAUUUGAGAGAGAGAGAGAGAGAGAGAGAGAGAGAGAGAGAGUAAUGUUGGAAGAGAGUUUGGAAUGAAAAUGUUGCAUCGGCUUGUAUUGGCUCAUGCGGGCCGAUGCCAUAGAGGCCCCAUUCUGAAAUUUUAUUUUCAAAAUUUCUCAUGUUUUUCCACUUUUCAUUUUAAUGAUAAAGGAAGCUUAGAAACUAAUUUAAGACUAGAUCUAGGCCUAUUAUGAGGGUCAAAACUCAAGAUUUGAGUGGGAUUUGAUGAAUUGAAGCAGAAUGAACCAUUUUGGGAAAUAUCAGAAGGGGUGGUGAUCCAAGUUUCUUUGUAGAUUUGUAGUGCUGAGGAGACCAUGCAAUGAGAUACUUAUGGGCAAAGGAGAGAAGGGAGAGAGCCUUUGAUUUUUAGAGUCUAUGAGUCCAAGAAAGGGGAGCCGUAAAAAAAAGGGGAGAAGAGCAUUUAGACUUCUACAAUGCGUCUAUACCUGUAUAUUUGUUUAUAUAAAUGUUUCGCUUCCCUGGGAAGGUAACUGAUUUCUCAGAGCUUCUAAAAAUAAGAUCCAUAAACUUGAAUUUAUUAUCAAAUGAGCUGAUUGGAUGCA
This is a long non-coding RNA of Magnolia sinica, 1338 nucleotides long. RefSeq lists it as uncharacterized. The record is from RefSeq and is a predicted model, not a curated record. Lineage: Eukaryota; Viridiplantae; Streptophyta; Magnoliopsida; Magnoliales; Magnoliaceae. The transcript has 2 exons.